Molecule: ribosomal RNA, 253 nt
Filed under: uncultured bacterium
Lineage: Bacteria
Description: partial 16S ribosomal RNA
Rfam family: Bacterial small subunit ribosomal RNA
Source: RNAcentral
UACGUAGGGUGCAAGCGUUGUCCGGAAUUAUUGGGCGUAAAGAGCUUGUAGGCGGUUUGUCGCGUCUGCUGUGAAAUUUCGGGGCUCAACCCCGAGCGUGCAGUGGAUACGGGCAGACUAGAGUGUGGUAGGGGAGACUGGAAUUCCUGGUGUAGCGGUGAAAUGCGCAGAUAUCAGGAGGAACACCGGUGGCGAAGGCGGUUCUCUGGGCCUGUACUGACGCUGAGGAGCGAAAGCGUGGGGAGCGAACAGG